CUACAACCUUUUCUAAAAUUUUGGAUAUAAAGGGGAGAUUUGAUAUCAGUCUGUAUGUAGUGAGGUCCUUUAUGGGGCCUUUUAUCUUAAAAUGUACCUUAUUUUUUAAAAGCAUAAAACAGCGUAGCCCCUUUAAGAGGUAGGCCCCAGUGAGUGCAUUGCCCCUUUAAGAGGAAGUGUCCUGAUUAGCGUGAGCGAAUGAACAAACGCUUCGGAUUCCAUACUCUUAUAAAGUGUCUGAGCAGCUGUGAGGAAUGGUUGCUGCUUGAUUGUCUGUUUGUUUCAUCGUCAGAUUUCUUCUCUAAUAAGGUGAGCAAUCGAUGUUUUCUUUUGUGUUCAGGUAGAAAGAAGUAUUGUUUUAUGGGGUUUUUCUCUUCCAUAGGCUGCGUUUAUCCUUCAUGUGCAAGUGUUGUGCAUUUAAUAAGAGGUGAUCAGAUUUGCUCUUUGGCGGCUGGACUGUGGAUGUGCUGUUUGUUUGCCAUUUGAGUGUGGUAUUGUUGUGCAGGCCUGGUUAAACGGAGGGGAACUGCAUUUGGUCACUGCUGUCCUUCUUUACCCUUUAUUUUUGGGUUUUGUGAUUUAAUGUUUGUUUGGUUUUCUUUAUUUAAGGCACCCAUCACGUUGUAUGGAUGCUGUGUUUAGCUGAUUGUUAAAAAGACUAUAGGGGGAUUGUUUGCAGAUAUUUUACUGUAUGAUAACCAACUGAUUUUGUGUAUCUGUUCCUUUCCAGUGGAUCAUCUGGGAGCACUGGUUGGAUUGUGGGUGUUGGUCCUUUGAUGGUGGAAUCUGUGCUACGGUUUACACUGCAUGCUGUGUGAAUUUUAUGAAUUUACGGUGUGUGGCACUUUGCGUGUGUGUGUGUGGGUGUGCGUGUGUGUGUUGAUGUGUUUUUCUUUACAGGCACCAUUUUGGGUGAACCUUUUGGGGUUAAAGUGGGCCUGCACCCGUGGCCUGUCAGUCUUCCUUUGUAUCCACUGGAAUGUUUGGUGUUAAUUGGUAAUUGUAACAGUUGGUAUCCUUUUAAUAUGAUUCAUGUUGCAGUUUUAAAUAAAAUAAGGUACCAAUAAUAAAGGUUUAUAUUUUAACUGA
Silurus meridionalis is the source of this 1089-nucleotide long non-coding RNA. RefSeq lists it as uncharacterized. Lineage: Eukaryota; Metazoa; Chordata; Actinopteri; Siluriformes; Siluridae. The record is from RefSeq and is a predicted model, not a curated record. The transcript has 3 exons.